This 60-nucleotide transfer RNA is filed under the name Codonobdella sp. IK-2021. RNAcentral describes it as "tRNA-Ile". The record is from RNAcentral. Lineage: Eukaryota; Metazoa; Annelida; Clitellata; Hirudinida; Piscicolidae. RNAcentral also lists the same sequence under 1 other name.
GGUAUUAAGCCGGAUUAACGGAUAACAUUGAUGAAGUUAAAUAUGAAAUUUUUCUAAUAC